GUCGCUGCUGAGAUCGGCAGCGUAGUCGGUGGAGUCUUGGCGGCCGGGCGAUUUGUGGCGGCGUUCGCGUUUGCUGUGCCCCCAACGACUCUGCAACACACCAGCAGAUGCGAGAUUCUAAACAGAGGAAAACUAUACGUUUACUCCUGAAAUUCAUUUUCUUCAUCAGCCUAGGUGGUGUCGGGGCUUCCCAUUUGAGAGCUGCUCUUCGAGGGGAUUGGGGCACAAUCCAAUUUACGUAGAACAAUACCCGUUAUUCGCUUGAUGAAUUUUUAAAAAUACGCAUUUAUCCAAUCUCGUGUUUUAUUUUUUAUGUUUUUGUUUACGUGGUAUUUUAACUUGACAGUAUAUAAUAACACCUUGCA
This is a long non-coding RNA of Tribolium castaneum (red flour beetle), 365 nucleotides long. RefSeq lists it as uncharacterized. Lineage: Eukaryota; Metazoa; Arthropoda; Insecta; Coleoptera; Tenebrionidae. The transcript is spliced from 2 exons. The record is from RefSeq and is a predicted model, not a curated record.